AAUAUUUUGAGAAGGACCUGUAUUUAUAGCCAAACUCACAUUACUACACUAGCCUACUAAAGAGGUUGGUUUUGUGCAAGCAAAAACCUGUCAUGAGGUUCCUGAUUGUGGUGAUUAACAUCCUGAUCCUUGCUUUGAACAGUUUGUUUUUGAUGGCUUAGUUUCGCUGACAGCUGAUCCUUUUGAUAAGAAGCCAGUGUGCAUUCAGAGAAACCCCGGACGCUCCCAGUCCAUUAUUCUCUCUAGUGUUUUACCAUUUUCAACUCAAAGUGCCUGUGGUUUCAACUCUGUUCUACAUGGCAUUUAGUUAUAAUACGGUUAUAAUCCCAGGCCAGUCCACCAAGUUUACAUAAGAUCAAAACUUGUCAUAGGAGGCUUUCUUGUUGCUGUUUGCCCUGCCUUACCAAUAGAAGGUGUAGCUAUGUUAAUGGGGAAUGACAUUGCUGGAGGUUUAGUGCAUCAAGGUCUGCAGGUCUUAGAUGAUCCUUUAGGCCAGAAGGUGUCAAACUUGUGUCCUUUAAACCCCAGACUGUACCCAGCCUGCAUGGUUACUCGUGCACAGUCAUGGAAUGAUGCUGACAUUUCACUAUGUGAUUCUGUGCUAAUGUUCUUAUUUUCCAGGUAAGGCAAUGUACUGUCCAAAAAAAAAAAAGUGUUCCAGCACCCCAUCAUCUCUGAAUUUGCAAGACGUAGACUAGAACGAUUAGGGUAACAAAUUUUCUGACCGUCAAUAAUUUCUAUACUUUUCUCCCCAAGAUGAACUGUGGCCACAACAGGAACACCCAUGACUUCAGUUUCCUGGUACGGUUGUAACAACUUGAACAUGUUUAAGUGGCCAACAUGGGACUUUUGUCUUCGGUUAGGGGAAGCAGGAACUUCUCCUUCAGGGCUUUGAGUGGACUACGAGGCGUGUGACCAAAAACCAACUCGGCUGGAGUACAACCUGGUGAUUCUUUCACAGCUUCACGAGUAGCAAACAGCACAAAUAGGAUCCGUUUUUCCCAACUCUUUGCGGACUGGAGACAAUACUUCAGGAGCAUUGACUUUAAGGUCAGAUGCUACCGUUCUAAAGCACCUUGGGACUCAGGAUUUUACGCAGAGGAGACAACAUGUUUAAUGUUGAGAGUCUGAGCAACCUAUCUGAAUAUAUUCGUACCUUGGUCUGUCUGCAUGACUUUUGGCAGGCCAAACAUAGAAAAAAACUUUGUUAGUGCUUUACCACAGAUUUUGCAGUUAUUUUAUGCAAAGGGAUGGCCUCAGGGUGGUUUGUACCUCAAAUUUCAUAAAUUUUUUAAAUUGCUUUGGUAAAGACAAUGUGCUGAAGUUGAAAUAGAGCAAAGAAAGAAAGACAUGGCAUGGUUGUUGGUGACAGGGUGGAGUGAUCUCAGUAUUUCAGAAACUGCUGAUUAAAUGAUAUUAAAAUCUAUUCCUCAGAUUUA
Long non-coding RNA from Girardinichthys multiradiatus, 1439 nucleotides. RefSeq lists it as uncharacterized. Lineage: Eukaryota; Metazoa; Chordata; Actinopteri; Cyprinodontiformes; Goodeidae. The transcript is spliced from 2 exons. The record is from RefSeq and is a predicted model, not a curated record.